RNAcentral lists this unclassified non-coding RNA (583 nucleotides) under Hevea brasiliensis (rubber tree). The record is from RNAcentral. Lineage: Eukaryota; Viridiplantae; Streptophyta; Magnoliopsida; Malpighiales; Euphorbiaceae.
CUAUUAUUAUAAUUAGAUUAUGGUAUUAUAAAUUGAUAUAUAUGUUAUUGUUGGCUUAUUACUACUUGCUAAAUUAUUAAUUUUCUUCUCUUUUUUAUUUUUGCUCCUUGUCUCGCUCGAGUGCGCACCUGUGCCUUGCGCCUGGGCCCUAAGACACUUUUGCGCCUUGGUGCGUCUUGAGCCUUUAAUAACUAUGUUUUUUCUUCUUCUUCUUCUUCUUUUCUUCUUUUUUAUCUUUUUGUUGGCUGCUGGAGCAAUUUUUAAACCCUAGCCAAUUUUUAUACUGCGCCUUAACUCCUUGGAGUGCACCUCAGUGUGCCUCGCGCCUUGGUGCGCCUAAGGGAGUUGGUGCGCCUUUCUUGCCAUCGAGCCUGCACCUGGCGCCUUGCGCCACUGUAAAUGAUACACUAUAAAAUAAUCACUUAUAAUAUACCCCCCUUUUUAUUGAGGAAUAUGCCUCUUGAAGAAUAUUCUCUAGAAUAUGCUAAGAAAUAUGCUCCUAUCACUUUUCCCUAUAAAUAGGGCCAAAUAAGGAUGAAAAAGGGGUUUCUCUCUCUCAAACCUUCUCUCUCUUUCCUUCUUU